Molecule: ribosomal RNA, 492 nt
Filed under: uncultured bacterium
Lineage: Bacteria
Description: partial 16S ribosomal RNA
Rfam family: Bacterial small subunit ribosomal RNA
Source: RNAcentral
AGUGAACGCUGGCGGUAGGCCUAACACAUGCAAGUCGAACGGCAGCACAGUAAGAGCUUGCUCUUACGGGUGGCGAGUGGCGGACGGGUGAGGCAUACACCGGAAUCUACUUUUUCGUGGGGGCUAACGUAGGGAAACUUACGCUAAUACCGCAUACGACCUACGGGUGACAGCAGGGGAUCUUCGGACCUUGCGCGAUUGAAUGAGCCGCUGUCGUAUUAGCUAGUUGGCGGGGCAAAGGCCCACCAAGGCGACGCUCCGUAGCUGGUCUGAGAGGAUGAUCAGCCACACUGGGACUGAGACACGGGCCAGGCGCCUACGGGAGGCAAAAGUGGGGAAUAUUGGACAAUGGGCGCAAGCCUGAUCCAGCCAUGCCGCGUGGAGGGAGGAGGCCUUCGGGGUGUAAAGCCCGUGUUUUGGGAAAGAAAAGCAGCAGGUUAAUACCCCGCUGUUCUGACGGUACCCAAAGAAUAAGCACCGGCUAACUUCGUG